AAGAAGUCAGGCCCCAAAGCCACGGUUUGAGCAAACCGUGCUGCCUGUAGCUCCGUCGUGGGGACGUAAAACCUGGGAGGCUGCAAACUGUGGAAGCUGUACGCACGGUGUAGCAGACUAGCGGUUAGAGGAGACCCCUCCCAUGACACAACGCAGCAGCGGGGCCCGAGCACUGAGGAAAGCUGUACCUCCUUGCAAAGGACUAGAGGUUWSMGG
This 216-nucleotide long non-coding RNA is filed under the name dengue virus type 3. Its description in RNAcentral is "Dengue virus type 3 partial sfRNA2". The record is from RNAcentral. Lineage: Riboviria; Orthornavirae; Kitrinoviricota; Flasuviricetes; Amarillovirales; Flaviviridae.